Molecule: ribosomal RNA, 614 nt
Filed under: uncultured bacterium
Lineage: Bacteria
Description: bacterial SSU rRNA
Rfam family: Bacterial small subunit ribosomal RNA (bases 1-525)
Source: RNAcentral
CCUACGGGAGGCAGCAGUGGGGAAUAUUGCACAAUGGGCGCAAGCCUGAUGCAGCAACGCCGCGUGAGGGACGACGGCCUUCGGGUUGUAAACCUCUUUUAGUAGGGAAGAAGCGAAAGUGACGGUACCUGCAGAAAAAGCACCGGCUAACUACGUGCCAGCAGCCGCGGUAAUACGUAGGGUGCAAGCGUUAUCCGGAAUUAUUGGGCGUAAAGAGCUCGUAGGCGGUUUGUCGCGUCUGCUGUGAAAACUGGAGGCUCAACCUCCAGCCUGCAGUGGGUACGGGCAAACUAGAGUGCGGUAGGGGAGAUUGGAAUUCCUGGUGUAGCGGUGGAAUGCGCAGAUAUCAGGAGGAACACCGAUGGCGAAGGCAGAUCUCUGGGCCGUAACUGACGCUGAGGAGCGAAAGCAUGGGGAGCGAACAGGAUUAGAUACCCUGGUAGUCCAUGCCGUAAACGUUGGGCGCUAGAUGUGGGGACCAUUCCACGGUUUCCGUGUCGCAGCUAACGCAUUAAGCGCCCCGCCUGGGGGAGGUACGGCCGCCGACGACGUAAACUACAACGGAAGUAGACGGCGUGAGACGUGCCGACGGACGACCGACCGAGGGAGGUAGG